AGCCGCGCCACGCCCGCGGGCAGGGCUGCCUGGAGGCUGGCGGCGGGGUAGUGGCCUCUCGCCCCAUGUGCCCCCUCCGCCACGCCUGCCGGCCGCUGCUCGGAGCCCAGCUUCUCCAGAUCUCAGCCCACCCUGGGGUGCAGUCUCCACCGCCAGGUUCUCAGCGGCCAAAAAGAUUGGAGAGCUCUAGCCACCCCAAAGACGACAGGCAUUAGCGGAGCUGCCAGUGGCGGGGAGCAGCUUGUGUAGGGAGCCGCACUUUCGGUGGCCGCGCUGCUGGAGAGCUCAGAGCCGGAGGCAGCGGCGCUGGAGGAGAAAAACGCGGCUGGGCAAUGAGGAGUUCAGAGCUCCGUCCCAGAUUCCAAUAUGGCUCAGCAUUGCACUGGAUUGGGGUCUGGACAAAGAACCUGGAGAGAAUGGAGAGGGCCCAGCAGAAGGAAGCAGAGAGAAACUCCCAAGAGUAACAGGAAACGAUGCUUCUGACUCACCAAAGACCCGAGAAAGAG
Molecule: long non-coding RNA, 506 nt
Organism: Rhinolophus ferrumequinum (greater horseshoe bat)
Lineage: Eukaryota; Metazoa; Chordata; Mammalia; Chiroptera; Rhinolophidae
Exons: 3
Source: RefSeq, a predicted model, not a curated record